GUCCACGCCGUAAACGAUGAAUACUAGGUGUGGGGACUGACCCCUUCCGUGCCGCAGUUAACACAAUAAGUAUUCCACCUGGGGAGUACGACCGCAAGGUUGAAACUCAAAGGAAUUGACGGGGCCCGCACAAGCGGUGGAGCAUGUGGUUUAAUUCGAAGCAACGCGAAGAACCUUACCAGGUCUUGACAUCCCGAUGCCCGCUCUAGAGAUAGAGUUUUACUCGGUACAUCGGUGACAGGUGGUGCAUGGUUGUCGU
RNAcentral lists this ribosomal RNA (259 nucleotides) under uncultured bacterium. RNAcentral describes it as "partial 16S ribosomal RNA". It matches the Rfam family "Bacterial small subunit ribosomal RNA", at positions 793 to 1055 of the family's 1533-position model. The record is from RNAcentral.